This 3095-nucleotide long non-coding RNA is filed under the name Sus scrofa (pig). Its description in RNAcentral is "lncRNA (ENSSSCG00005039820.1)". Lineage: Eukaryota; Metazoa; Chordata; Mammalia; Artiodactyla; Suidae. The record is from RNAcentral.
UAGUGUCCUUCUUUAUCUUUCUUUAUGGUCUUUGCUUUAAAGUUUGUUUUGUCUGAUAUGAGUAUUUCCACUCCUGCUUUCCUGUCAUUUCCAUUUGCAUGAAAUGUCUUUUUCCAUCUCCUCACUUUCCAUCUAUGUGUAUUCUUUGCCCUAAGGUAGGUCUCUUAUAGGCGGCAUAUUGUAGGCUUUUUUUUUUUUUUUUUUUCUUUUUCUUUCCUCUCUUUCUUUAGGGCCACUCCUGCAGCUAGGGGUCGAAUCAUAGCUGUAGCUGCUGACCAGUGCCACAGCCAUAACAAUGCAGGAUCUGAGCCACGUCUGUGACCUACACCAUAGCUCACAGCAAUGCCAGAUGCUUAACCUACUGUGUAGGCUCUUGUUUUUUUAAUCCAGUCUGCCACUCUAUGUCUUUUGAUUGGAGCAUCAAAAAACAUUGACAUUUAAGGUAAUUAUUGAUAGAUAAGUAUUUAUUGCUAUUUUAAAAUCUUGUUUUCCAGUUGAGUGUGUUUCUCCUUUGUUCCUUUCUUUUUCUUUUUUGUGGUUUAAUGAUUUCCUUUUAUUUUAUGCUUGUGUGCUCAUCUUUUUGGUUUUUAUGAAUCUAUUGUUUGUUUUUGAUUUGUAGUUGCCCUGUUUUUUAAGUAUGUUAACCCCUUCCUAUAUCUGCUUGCUUUAGGCUGAUAGUCUUAUAGGCUCAAACACAUUCUAAAAAAAAAAGAGUCUAAAUUUUCUUAUGCUCCUUCCUUACAUUUUAUGAUUUUGAUGUCCUUUUUUAUAUCUUCAUGUUUAUUCCUUUGUUGUUCUUUAAGUUUAUCAUCACAUUCACAAGUAUAUUUUUUGUUUUUGUUUCUUUUUUAGCCUUGUACCAGCUUGUUUACAUGAUUACUUUCCAAGUGUGAUUUCCUCCAUCUUAUAUCUUCUUAUUUCUUUCCUAUUUAGAGGAGGCCUUUCCAUCUUUUAAAUGAUAGGUUUAAUAGUUCUUUAUUCUUUUAGUUUUUGCUUGUCUGGGAAAUUCUUUAUUUCUCCUAUUUUAUUUUAUUUAUUUUUUAUUUAUUUAUUUUUUUGUCUUUUUUCCAUUUCUUGGGCCGCUCCUGCGGCAUAUGGAGGUCCCCAGGCUAGGGGUCUAAUCGGAGUUGUAGCCGCUGGCCUACACCACAGCCACAGCAACACCAGAUCUGAGCCACAUCUGCGACCUACACCACAGCUCACAGCAACUCCAGAUCCUGAACCCACUGAGCAAGGCCAGGGAUCAAACCCGCAACCUCCUGGUUCCUAGUGGGAUUUGUUAACCACUGAGCCAUGACAGGAACUCCCCAAUAGAUCUUGUAUAUUGCUUUUGUGUUUUAUCAUUUGGCUAUUUGCUGUCCUGAUUGGGUGGUUUCCGUUAUUCUAUCUUCCAAGUCACUUAUUCAUUCCUCUGCAUUAUUCAUUCUGCUGUUCAAUGUCCUAGCUCAGCAUUUAUCUCAGUAAAUAAAUUUUCUAAUUUUUCUUAGCUCCUCCUUAUAGUUUUUAGUUCCUUUUAAGAGUAACUGCAUUACUGUCAAUAGCCUUUCUUAAUUCCUUCAGUAUUUUCUUUACCUUCUUCCUUCUUCAGAGGAAUUCUGUCCUUUUAACUGGGAAUGGCUCUUGUGGUUCUUCAUUUUGCUUAUAUUUUUCUUACUCUGUGAGUUUAGGGAAAACAAUUAUCUACUGUAGUCUUGGAGGGCUAUUUAUAUGCAGAAGUGUCCCUGAGUGGCUUGUGUGGGUUUACUGGGUUUUUUUGCCUGAGGAUUGCUUUUGGUUUGGAUGCUUGCUGCCUAUUUCCUCAGUGUGUGCAGGGUAUUAUCCUCUUGACAGGGGGCAUGCAGGUGCAUGGCUUGUGCUUGCUUCCAGGGAGGUGGGGGCAGUGGGUGGUGCCUGCAGGCGCACCUGGUUGCUGGGCCCUUGGCAGUGGUGGCAACCCACAGGGAGGUAUGGGCUGCAGAUUUCGACUGCUUGCAGAGCCCUUGGCAGUGGCAGUGACCCACAGGGAGGUGUCACUUGGGGCCCUUGGCAGUGGCAACAGUGGGGCAUGCAUGUUCCCAGGGGGGUGGGGGCAAUGGACGGUGCUAAGUUGUAGGACUCUCUGUGGCCGCAACCCCUGGGGUGACUGUGGCAGCAGACAGUGCUUGGUCACAGGACCCUCAGUUGUAGUGGCCUGCACCCACUUCUGGAGUCCAAGAUGGCUGCAGCAGUUUGCACGCACCCCUGUAGCCUGCACAAGAGGUGCCUACCACCUGAGAGCCCAUGGGUGCAUUGAGAAAGAAGUUCCUAUGGCAGUCCUGCCCUCCUCCUCUCACACUGAAAAUAAGCGUCUUUAUAAAAAUAAUAAAUACUCAUGUAGUUUUUACUGAGUGCUUUAUUUGUGUUAGUUUAUUUAGUCCACACAACAGCUCUAUUAUUAUCACCCUCAUUUUACAUAUGAGUAAACUGAAGUAUAAAGAGAUUGAAUAACUUGUUAGAGGUCAAGCAUUUAAUAAGUUGGCAAAGACAAAAGUCAAACUCGUGUGGUUUGGUCCCAGAGCCUGUGUUCUUAACCUAUGUAUUGUAUUGACUCUCCACAAUAUGGAAUCUGCUCAUCUAUAAUGGACAUGCCUUUCAAUUUGCUUCUACCACUCCGUCAUGUUCCAGUCUCCAUCUUUAUCCUUUGUCAGUGAGCAGAUACCCACUUUAUCCUCCCUUUUCCUUCCAUAGCUGAUUGGACCAGGAAUAGGUGGAAAACUGAUUCAAACUGGUCAAUCAUAUUCUCUCUUGAGAAACUUUGCAAUUAGUCUUACCUGGUCUCUUGACCUAGAAAGUGAUGACACAGGGGUAAAGCAGGAAGAGACGUUUGACCCACAUACAGGUAGAACAGAGAAAGCAGGCCUGCAGAGAGCAGUAGAUACACAGAGAGAAGCAGUGUUCAGAAGACCUAUGAUCCCAGAAGAAGGUGGUAGGGUAAUUGCCUGGGCUUUGGAGCUUUCCAUGUCCUGGUUUGCCUUACUAUGGCCUUAUUGCCCUUUCUGCUCUUGGGGAUCUACGGAAGUUACCUCUCUUCAAAUAAAUUUCCUUCAGUUUAAAGUCACCUGAAUGAAAAAAAAAAA